AAAGGCACAGUAGACCAGGAAGCACACUACCAAAAAUCAAAGAAGUUCCCUGAGACUGCUGGGUUUGUUGUCAUUUACAUAUGAGUGAAAGAGAACAACAAAAGGGCUACACAAUCAGACACCAAACUACACUUGUUCAGAUUCAUGCUACCACUUGCUUGAGUUUUCUCACACACAAUUCCUUCCCCCAUGGCCCUACUCAUCUUUUCUUGGAGACAAAUAUAGGUUCAAUUUCCCCAGGUUUCAGCCAGACAAUCCAGCUGCCAGAAAUGUGCUGGCUGAUCAUCUUCCUGGAGCUACUUCUCGGCUACUUACUUGGGUCUGUCAAAUGUGGAAAAGGAAGGAAAAACAGAGGACCCAUGUUGUGAAAAGCCAGGAAUUUCACACUUACCCAUAUGAAGGACUGAUAUGCGGCCCUACAACCAUUCCAGUUAUGGCAAAGCCAUGCCAACAACAUUCUUGACAUGCUUGAAGCUGAUGGCGUGCCCGGACAAAUGUUCCCUUGUUCCCUAUUCCCUUCAGUUUCUGGUGUUAAGUAUUAGUUGAGCCCCCUAUCACCCUGCAGAAAAUAAAAUAAAAUAAGAUAAAAUAAAGUAAAAUGCACAGAUGAUACCAUGGAAGUUUCUGCUGAUGCAGUGCUGGAAGCAGGAAGGCGUAUUAAUGAGUAGUACUCUGGACUAGAGCUGAAGUCGUUUAUUUAAAAUGGCAAUGAGAUGAUGAUCUGUUAAAAACUCCAGUGGGAUGAGCAGAGGGUAAUUUGUCCAAGGCCUCAGAGGUAUCAAAUAGGCUGGUCAUUUUCACAAACUGUUGCCAAAAUAAUCCUAAAAGCCCAGAGCAGCAAAAAGAAGCAUGAAACUAUAAAGAUCCAGCACAGAAAUGGAAUGGAAGCAAGUACUACAUCGCUCUAAUUCUUUCAGUGUUUUGUUCUCCCCCCCCCCCUCCUUUGGAUGGCUUAAUUAUUUACUUUAGAAAUAGUAACACAUUCCUUGGCUACCAAACAUCUAGGGCUUAAGAAAUCAGGCAGUACUUCUGAAAUCCAUACCAGGAUAUUUUCCAGAUUGAAGAACAGGAGGGAGAUGGAGAAAAAGAGAAUCUGUUGAAGAUUGUCUGAGUUUGCACUGUGGGCGAAGUUCUGGCUCAUUUGGGUGUGACGGUGACAGCAGAGGCGUCUGGCUGUCAGUUUCUCUGGUCUAAGCUUCCAUUCCACGUCUACGGAGAUGACUCGCCUCCAACUCCAGUUAACUUCUUGGGAGUCCUGAGCACUUCGACAAAGCUGUUUACAAAAUGCAAAGCAUCUGGGGAGCCAAGGCUGAGUGAGCCUUGAGCAUUCACUUUCUUGCUCAUUAAAAUUUUUUUUUUUUAA
This is a long non-coding RNA of Canis lupus familiaris (dog), 1363 nucleotides long. RefSeq lists it as uncharacterized. The transcript is spliced from 5 exons. NCBI's taxonomy places the organism in Eukaryota, Metazoa, Chordata, Mammalia, Carnivora, Canidae. The record is from RefSeq and is a predicted model, not a curated record.